Molecule: unclassified non-coding RNA, 405 nt
Filed under: soil metagenome
Description: partial contains 5.8S ribosomal RNA, internal transcribed spacer 2, and large subunit ribosomal RNA
Rfam family: 5.8S ribosomal RNA (bases 1-121)
Source: RNAcentral
GAUGAAGAACGUAGCGAAAUGCGAUAAGUAAUGAGAAUUGCAGAAUUCAGUGAAACAUCGAAUCUUUGAACGCACCUUGCGCCCUUUGGCCAUUCCGAAGGGCAUGCCUGUUUGAGUAUCAUGAACACCUCAACUCUUUAUGGUUUUCCAUGAUGAGCUUGGACUCUGGGGGUUUUGCUGGCUCACAGUCGGCUCCUCUAAAAUGAAUCAGCUUACCAGUGUUUGGUGGGUAUCAUGGGUGUGAUAACUAUCUACGCUUGUGGUUUUUCCACCAGGUAACCUUCAGCAGUGGAGGUUCGCUGGAGCUCAUAGAUGUCUCUCCUCAGUGAGGACAGCCCUUUGAAUGUUUGAUCUCGAAUCAGGUAGGACUACCCGCUGAACUUAAGCAUAUCAAUAAGCGGAGGA